RNAcentral lists this ribosomal RNA (592 nucleotides) under uncultured bacterium. RNAcentral describes it as "bacterial SSU rRNA". The stretch from base 1 to 521 matches the Rfam family "Bacterial small subunit ribosomal RNA", at positions 338 to 873 of the family's 1533-position model. The record is from RNAcentral.
CCUACGGGAGGCAGCAGUGGGGAAUCUUGCGCAAUGGGCGAAAGCCUGACGCAGCAACGCCGCGUGCGGGAAGAAGGCCCUCGGGUUGUAAACCGCUUUCAGCAGGAACGAAAAUGACGGUACUUGCAGAAGAAGGUGCGGCCAACUACGUGCCAGCAGCCGCGGUGACACGUAGGCACCAAGCGUUGUCCGGAUUUAUUGGGCGUAAAGAGCUCGUAGGCGGUUCGGUAAGUCGGGUGUGAAAACUUUGGGCUUAACCCAAAGCCUGCAUCUGAUACUGCUGUGACUAGAGUUCGGUAGGGGAGCGGGGAAUUCCUAGUGUAGCGGUGAAAUGCGCAGAUAUUAGGAGGAACACCGGUGGCGAAGGCGCCGCUCUGGGCCGAUACUGACGCUGAGGAGCGAAAGCGUGGGUAGCAAACAGGAUUAGAUACCCUGGUAGUCCACGCCGUAAACGUUGGGCACUAGGUGUGGGUUUCAACCAACGAAAUCCGCGCCGUCGCUAACGCAUUAAGUGCCCCGCCUGGGGAGGUACGGCCGCGAGUAAACGUACAAUAGAUGACGCGNGAGACNGCGACGACGACACGAGGGAGAG